RNAcentral lists this long non-coding RNA (298 nucleotides) under Elaeis guineensis (African oil palm). Its description in RNAcentral is "long non-coding RNA (EGUI_LNC046641)". Lineage: Eukaryota; Viridiplantae; Streptophyta; Magnoliopsida; Arecales; Arecaceae. The record is from RNAcentral.
CCGUUAAUAUCAUAGAAUUAGUCACUUGUAUGAGAUAUUUCUUAUUGGAAUGAAAUCCAUUACAUGCUGCCCAUGCAAUCAACUAUUCCAUUUUAAACAAAUAUUCUAUAAUAAAAUAAAUUCAAAUUUUGAAACUUUUAGCAUAUCGAGAUCUUUAUGAUUAUACUUGUGUCCUCCAAUACUACUUGCAUCCCAAUCUCUAAUAUUUAUAAUUCAAAUUUUUAUACCACUUAAAUCAUAAUCCCCAAUGAUCAUAAACCUAUGCUCUGAUACCACCUAUGUAAUACCCCACCCCUAA